RNAcentral lists this ribosomal RNA (463 nucleotides) under uncultured bacterium. RNAcentral's name for it is "bacterial SSU rRNA". It matches the Rfam family "Bacterial small subunit ribosomal RNA", at positions 28 to 508 of the family's 1533-position model. The record is from RNAcentral.
GAUGAACGCUGGCGGCGUGCUUAAUACAUGCAAGUCGAACGGAGACUGUAGCAAUACUGUCUUAGUGGCGAACGGGUGAGUAACGCGUUGGUGACCUGCCCCGAAGAGGGGGAUAACAGUCCGAAAGGAUUGCUAAUACCCCAUGUGGUCGUUUGGAUUAGAUGCCUUACGACUAAACGGAUUUAUUCGCUUCGGGAGGGGCCUGCGUCCCAUCAGCUAGUUGGUAGGGUAAUAGCCUACCAAGGCGAUGACGGGUAGGGGACCUGAGAGGGUGGCCCCCCACAAUGGAACUGAAACACGGUCCAUACACCUACGGGUGGCAGCAGUAGGGAAUAUUAGAAAUGGACGAAAGUCUGAUCUAGCAACACCGCGUUGUGCGAAGAAGGCCUUCGGGUCGUAAAGCACUUUUUGGAAGGAAUAGGAAGGAAUGUACUUCCAGAAUAAGUCUCGGCUAACUACGUCG